CGCUGAAGCACCAGCUUGCUGGUGUGGAUGAGUGGCGAACGGGUGAGUAAUACGUGAGUAACCUGCCCUUGACUCUGGGAUAAGCCCGGGAAACUGGGUCUAAUACUGGAUGCUACAUGUCACCGCAUGGUGGUGUGUGGAAAGGGUUUACUGGUCUUGGAUGGGCUCACGGCCUAUCAGCUUGUUGGUGAGGUAAUGGCUCACCAAGGCGACGACGGGUAGCCGGCCUGAGAGGGUGACCGGCCACACUGGGACUGAGACACGGCCCAGACUCCUACGGGAGGCAGCAGUGGGGAAUAUUGCACAAUGGGCGAAAGCCUGAUGCAGCGACGCCGCGUGAGGGAUGACGGCCUUCGGGUUGUAAACCUCUUUCAGCAGGGAAGAAGCCACAAGUGACGGUACCUGCAGAAGAAGCGCCGGCUAACUACGUGCCAGCAGCCGCGGUAAUACGUAGGGCGCAAGCGUUGUCCGGAAUUAUUGGGCGUAAAGAGCUCGUAGGCGGUUUGUCGCGUCUGCUGUGAAAGCCCGGGGCUUAACCCCGGGUGUGCAGUGGGUACGGGCAGACUAGAGUGCAGUAGGGGAGACUGGAAUUCCUGGUGUAGCGGUGGAAUGCGCAGAUAUCAGGAGGAACACCGAUGGCGAAGGCAGGUCUCUGGGCUGUUACUGACGCUGAGGAGCGAAAGCAUGGGGAGCGAACAGGAUUAGAUACCCUGGUAGUCCAUGCCGUAAACGUUGGGCACUAGGUGUGGGGGACAUUCCACGUUUUCCGCGCCGUAGCUAACGCAUUAAGUGCCCCGCCUGGGGAGUACGGCCGCAAGGCUAAAACUCAAAGGAAUUGACGGGGGCCCGCACAAGCGGCGGAGCAUGCGGAUUAAUUCGAUGCAACGCGAAAGAACCUUACCAAGGGCUUGACAUAUACCGGAAUCGUUUCCAAAGAUGGUUUCUUCCCCUUUUGGGGUCGGUAUACAGGGUGGUUGCAUGGUUUUUCNUCCACUCCGUGUCCUGAAGAUGUUUGGGUUUAGUUCCCGCCAACGAACCGCAACCCUUCGUUUCCAUGUUUGCC
RNAcentral lists this ribosomal RNA (1063 nucleotides) under Kocuria palustris. RNAcentral describes it as "bacterial SSU rRNA". It matches the Rfam family "Bacterial small subunit ribosomal RNA", at positions 65 to 1123 of the family's 1533-position model. The record is from RNAcentral. Lineage: Bacteria; Bacillati; Actinomycetota; Actinomycetes; Micrococcales; Micrococcaceae.